CUUUCCAUGCGGAAACCUGAUAAUCCAGUGGAGCUUUUGCUGCUAGAUUGUACACUGGAGACAUGGAGACAGACACACCAUACACUGAGAAAGAUGUAGCGUCCCCUCCCUGCAUGAGAUUCUAAAGGAAUAGGAAAUGCUGGGACGGAGUCGCUGCCGCAGCAUGGCUGACAGUGGUGUCCCCAAAUUAUGUGAGUUUCAAGCCCCGCAAACUGUGGAUCUACCCUGUGUUGAACUCUUUAUCCCCAACAACUAGCACAGUGCCUUGCCUGACGUAGGCAGUCCACAAGAUCCCCUGGCUGAAUGGAAAAUGAAGAAGUGAUCAACUCACUGGUUUAGAACUCCUCAGCAAGAUUCCUGCAAGAUCCACAAGGGCCCCAGUUAGUUUCCUAGAAACUCUUUUACACCAGCCUACUUUCAAGAAAGUGGAACAGAAUGGGAAAGAAGGAAUAGAAUGAAAUGGAAUAGAAUGAAAAAUAUCACGAGUACAUCACAAGAAGAGAGGGACAAAUUGCAAGAUAAGAUUGAAGAUAUAUAUGAUGCAAAUUAUCUUGAAACUUGACUGACAAGAUAAGGAGUUUGAGUUUCAGACUGUAUCACAGUAAAAAACCUCUGAAAUGUUUGACCAGCAAAUGGAAGGUGCGUGAUAAGGUGUGAGGUUGGUUGGCACCAUUAAAGAUUAAUUCCAUGUUCAAUCAUUCAUUUAAGAAAUAUUUAUCGAGUGUCUCCUGCAUACCAGACAAGGUUUAAAAAGGUGAAGCAUGGGCCAAAUGCCUGAAAUACUGCUAUUUCAAAUCAUGAAAGUCAGGUCAAUCUUCUGCAAUCUGAUUUGUCUAUCCAAAAAGAAAUGCUGUAGGUAUUUCUUGUGAACACGCUAUGAGACUGUGGGAUUUAGCAGAGAUGGAACCAACAGAGAGUAAACAUAAUGCACUCAAAAAUAAAGGAAUUUAUAAGGCACUGGAGAUUCAAGAAGCAAAUACAUGACACAAGGACACCAAAGAAUAUGUUUGUCAAGAAACUUGUCUGAGGGGCCGGCUGAGUGGCGCAGCAGUUAAGUUCGCAUGUUCCACUUCUCGGCAGCUGGAGGUUCGCCAGUUCAGAUCCGGGGUGUGAACAUGGCACCGCUUGGCACACCAUGCUGUGGUAGGUGUCCCACACAUAAAGAAGAGGAAGAUGGGCACAGAUGUUAGCUCAGGGCCAGGCUUUCUCAGAAAAAAGAGGAGGACCGGCAGUAGUUAGCUCAGGGCUAAUGUUCCUCAAAAAAAAAAAAAAGAAACUUGUCUGAGAUUCUGAGUGACUAUGUGCGUGCACUCACAAACUCACACAUAG
RNAcentral lists this long non-coding RNA (1329 nucleotides) under Equus caballus (horse). Its description in RNAcentral is "lncRNA (ENSECAG00000051541.1)". Lineage: Eukaryota; Metazoa; Chordata; Mammalia; Perissodactyla; Equidae. The record is from RNAcentral.